AAACCAGCACCUCAAGUGGUCAGGAUGAUUAUUGGGCCUAAAGCAUCCGUAGCCGGCUCUGUAAGUUUUCGGUUAAAUCUGUACGCUUAACGUACAGGCUGCCGGGAAUACUGCAGAGCUAGGGAGUGGGAGAGGUAGACGGUACUCGGGAGGAAGUGGUAAAAUGCUUUGAUCUCUCGAUGACCACCUGUGGCGAAGGCGGUCUAUCAGAACACGUCCGACGGUGAGGGAUGAAAGCUGGGGGAGCAAACCGGAUUAGAAACCCCUGUAGUCC
RNAcentral lists this ribosomal RNA (274 nucleotides) under uncultured bacterium. Its description in RNAcentral is "partial 16S ribosomal RNA". It matches the Rfam family "Archaeal small subunit ribosomal RNA", at positions 473 to 747 of the family's 1478-position model. The record is from RNAcentral.